AUUGAACGCUGGCGGCAGGCUUAACACAUGCAAGUCGAGCGGGGUGAUGGUGCUUGCACUAUCACUUAGCGGCGGACGGGUGAGUAAUGCUUAGGAAUCUGCCUAUUAGUGGGGGACAACAUCUCGAAAGGGAUGCUAAUACCGCAUACGUCCUACGGGAGAAAGCAGGGGAUCACUUGUGACCUUGCGCUAAUAGAUGAGCCUAAGUCGGAUUAGCUAGUUGGUGGGGUAAUGGCCUACCAAGGCUGCGAUCGGUAGCUGGUCUGAGAGGACGACCAGCCAAACUGGGACUGAGACACGGCCCAGGCUCCUACGGGAGGCAGCAGUGGGGAAUAUUGGACAAUGGGGGAAACCCUGACGCAGCAACGCCGCGUGAGUGAUGAAGGCCUUCGGGUCGUAAAGCUCUGUCAGAGGGGAAGAAAUGACGAGGUGCUAAUACCACUUCUUCUUGACGGUACCCUCAAAGGAAGCACCGGCUAACUCCGUGCCAGCAGCCGCAGUAA
Molecule: ribosomal RNA, 503 nt
Filed under: uncultured bacterium
Lineage: Bacteria
Description: partial 16S ribosomal RNA
Rfam family: Bacterial small subunit ribosomal RNA
Source: RNAcentral